CUCUGAGUAGCUCAGUUGGAAGAGCGUCAGACUGUAACGGAUACCUCAUCUGAAUGUCACUGGUUCGAUCCCGGUCUCGGAGA
Transfer RNA from Sphaerobolus stellatus SS14, 83 nucleotides. It matches the Rfam family "tRNA". From Rfam's summary of the family: Transfer RNA (tRNA) molecules are approximately 80 nucleotides in length. Their secondary structure includes four short double-helical elements and three loops (D, anti-codon, and T loops). NCBI's taxonomy places the organism in Eukaryota, Fungi, Basidiomycota, Agaricomycetes, Geastrales, Sphaerobolaceae. The record is from Rfam.